AGACUAUUAGGAGCACGCAGCUCUCCCUUGUCACGUGACCGCCGCGGUCCAAUCAGCUGUGCUUAUAAGCCGGUAGCAGGAAGUGGCCAGUAGACUGGACGUGAGGGGAGAGAGAUUGUAUUUCUGCUCGAGAGCUGACUACCAGCGCCGGAUUUUUUGUCAUUAGCUGUGUGUGACUGUAGAAGCGGAGUUGGCCAGGCUUCUCUUUAUGAUGGCGAGCUAAGGAAAAAAAACAUCUAGUCCAAGGAUCGUUCUUGGGAGAUUCCAGCCAGGAACCCCACCACCUGUUCUGUGGGCUGGUAGGAGGCUCUCGAGCCAACCCCCUACACAUUUUCACCUUAACCAUGGACUGUACUGCUUUACCCUCCAAAACCUUUCUCCAAGAACUCUAUUAUCUGAGCUGAGAUUUAAACAAGAUCCAGAGACACUAAAUCAUUGAAUUGGAACACACACAGAGCUAUUUCUAUUUUUGGGCAGAAUUAUUAUAGUGUUCCCAACGUUAAAAGGCUAAAGCCAUUGUUUACAAAUUUGGUAAAUAAAUUACCCCAAAAUUUAUAUUUUGUUGUUUUCUUACUGUACCGAAAAUGAAACGAACCGUGACCUCUAAACCGAGGUUCGUACCGAACCGAGAUUUUUGUGUACCGUUACACCCUUAGUGUAUACAAAUACACAUUCCCGUGGAUACACAUACACAUUCCCGUGUAUACACACACACAUUCUCGUGUAUACACACACACACAUUCCCGUGUAUACACACACACAUACCCGUGUAUACACACACACACAUACCCGUGUAUACACACACACAUACCCAUGAAUACACACACACAUUCCCGUGUAUACACACACAUACCCGUGUAUACACACACACAUACCCGUUGUCGGAGGAAGAUAUUUACAUAUAUCCGAAUUUAAGUUGUACUUCUUUUAUUUCAUAGUCAUAUUUGAAAACAGCUCGUGUUUUCCAUUUCUUCUCUUGCUGCUUUGUCUGCAAGUAAACUGUGUGUGUUAACCUUGAGGCUUUGGAAUGUGUUUUUGACUAGCAUGUAUUUUGUCUACAGAGAGGGGAGAAAAGAGAGGGUUUUGGGAUCGAGACAGACAGACCAUUUUAGCGGGGCGAUCCGAAUGUUCUAUGCUGUUUCUGUGAAAGUAUAUCUGCAAAGCUUUGCAAAUAUAUUACAAAAUACCUAUUCGGUCUCUGGUGGUUUUUCAACUCAGCUUUAAGUGUCGUAAAGAGCUUGGGAGCGACUUGUGACUUGAAUUCCCUGGGAGGAACAACUGGUCCAAAACGCAACAAUUUGGGGGCCUCGUCCGGGCGACACGCUGAGAAUUGGACACCUCUUACACUCUUCUGGACAGACUCACGAGUGGCCAAACAUAAAACAAGGUAAGCAGAGCCUUUUUCUAAAAUCUGCUUUAGGAGUCUGUCUUGAAGUAUGUAAGUCAAACACUGUUUGUACCCCAGACACAGAGUGGACAUUUUGAUGGAUUGAUUGCAUUUUUGCCUUGUCCGCCAUUACAUAAAAAGCUGUAAAUAAGUGGUCAACUCGCGUCAUUGUGUCUCGACUACCGUGACGGGCAGUUUCAUUGACGAAUAAACUAAUAGUUGGGUGUAGCUCACCCUGGGUCAUUGGUCGUCGCCUAAACGAGUAACAGGUUCGAGGCCUUUCGUCUGGGACGAAAAAUUCUGAAGUAAGGGGUUCGAGGCCCUUCGUCUGGGACGAUAAAUUCUGAGAUAAAAGACACAAUGGCUACGGAGUGUGACAGACAGGAAUGUGAUGGCGGAUGGGGGAAAUGUGAUGAAUGGCUACCGUUUAAUGAUCAAUUGAAUGUGCUUUUGGUGACAAUGGAAUCAGCGGGAAGAGACAAAAAGGAGAACGUUUCAUGAAAGGGUUAAGAGGGAGUUUACAACACUCUCUUUGAAAAAUAAGGGUUAAGAGGGAGUUUACAACACUCGUAAAGUCGUGAACUCAAACGUUUGGUAAAUAAAGAAAAGUAACUGGAAGUUUUAUGGUAAAGUGAAACACAGAGAAAGAGCUUUCGUGCAGCUUUUUCCUUGUAUGUGUGUGUGUUGCUGGUUGCGUGGGAGUGUGUGUGUGUGUGUGUAUGUGUGUGUGUGUGUGUGUGUGUGUGUGUGUGUG
Molecule: non-coding RNA, 2141 nt
Organism: Nerophis lumbriciformis (worm pipefish)
Lineage: Eukaryota; Metazoa; Chordata; Actinopteri; Syngnathiformes; Syngnathidae
Source: RefSeq, a predicted model, not a curated record